UUUUGGGGGUAGCUUGCUACCUGCCGGCGAGUGGCGAACGGGUGAGUAAUACAUCGGAACGUGCCCUGUAGUGGGGGAUAACUAGUCGAAAGACUAGCUAAUACCGCAUACGACCUGAGGGUGAAAGUGGGGGACCGCAAGGCCUCAUGCUAUAGGAGCGGCCGAUGUCUGAUUAGCUAGUUGGUGGGGUAAAGGCCCACCAAGGCGACGAUCAGUAGCUGGUCUGAGAGGACGAUCAGCCACACUGGGACUGAGACACGGCCCAGACUCCUACGGGAGGCAGCAGUGGG
RNAcentral lists this ribosomal RNA (290 nucleotides) under Ralstonia solanacearum. Its description in RNAcentral is "partial 16S ribosomal RNA". It matches the Rfam family "Bacterial small subunit ribosomal RNA", at positions 67 to 358 of the family's 1533-position model. The record is from RNAcentral. Lineage: Bacteria; Pseudomonadati; Pseudomonadota; Betaproteobacteria; Burkholderiales; Burkholderiaceae.